GGGUUGUAAACCUCUUUUCACAGGGAAGAAUAAUGACGGUACCUGGGGAAUAAGUCACGGCUAACUACGUGCCAGCAGCCGCGGUAAUACGUAGGUGGCUAGCGUUAUCCGGAUUUACUGGGCGUAAAGAGUGCGUAGGCGGUUCUUCAAGUCGGACGUGAAAUCUCCUGGCUUAACUGGGAGGGGUCGUUCGAUACUGUUGGACUUGAGGGCAGCAGAGGAAGGUGGAAUUCCCGGUGUAGUGGUGAAAUGCGUAGAUAUCGGGAGGAACACCAGUGGCGAAGGCGGCCUUCUGGGCUGUACCUGACGCUGAGGCACGAAAGCGCGGGGAGCGAACAGGAUCAGAUACCCUGGUAGUCCGCGCCGUAAACGAUGGAUACUAGGUAUAGGGAGUAUCGACCCUCUCUGUGCCGAAGCUAAC
RNAcentral lists this ribosomal RNA (421 nucleotides) under uncultured bacterium. RNAcentral describes it as "bacterial SSU rRNA". It matches the Rfam family "Bacterial small subunit ribosomal RNA", at positions 420 to 856 of the family's 1533-position model. The record is from RNAcentral.